GGCAUGUUCUGCUAGAUGCAACUGGUAUUUUGGUGGGGAAGGACCAGUUGAAUCUUGGGUAUUUCUGGGCUGAUUUUGUGUUGUGCAGUCUUGACAAUGCACACGUCCAGUGCCAACCUUCCAACAUCACUUGCCUUCUCGUCAGGAAGAAAUCCUUCAAUAUUGCAGUAGCAGCAGCUCCCCUUGAAUAUGCUUAGAUUGCUUCAGCAACAGAU
This 215-nucleotide unclassified non-coding RNA is filed under the name Hevea brasiliensis (rubber tree). Lineage: Eukaryota; Viridiplantae; Streptophyta; Magnoliopsida; Malpighiales; Euphorbiaceae. The record is from RNAcentral.